This 3251-nucleotide long non-coding RNA is filed under the name Cucumis sativus (cucumber). Its description in RNAcentral is "long non-coding RNA (CSAT_LNC003205)". Lineage: Eukaryota; Viridiplantae; Streptophyta; Magnoliopsida; Cucurbitales; Cucurbitaceae. The record is from RNAcentral.
GUGGCUUGGACAGUUGCUCCCAAAUGUUCUUUGCGGCCUCAAAGGAUGGCAUUUCCUCAGAUGAUUGAGUCUCCCUUGAGCGGCUGUGAGUAUUUGGCUGCUUGCCGAUGUCAUUUGUUCGUCAAUCGACAUGAUUUCUUUAGAUGUUCUUCAAAAGAGAAAGAGAUGAAAGGUAGAGAUUGUCUCACUGGACGUGUCAAACUGUUCACACGAGAUUUUGAAGAAAUGUAUUUCGUGGAGUUGAACUUUAUAUAUUAAAGAAUAUUGUGAAUACAACCUCUAGUAUUUACUCUUUUGAUGUUUUUUCUCGAAUACAAGUUAAAACUUAGAACUUUUUUAUUUUCGAUCUUCAGGAUGUUGUAGUUGCACGUUGAUUUGAACUUCGAUCUUCUGGAAUCCAAGAAAAGUUUUUUUCCAAGUCUUCAAUCUUUCAGAAGUUGUUGAUCUCGAAGUUGAUACAAACUUGCACGUCUUGAGAGCUUGUAGAAGUUUGAAUCUUCAAUUCUUCAGAGCUUCAAUUCUUCUUUCAACCAAAGACCCCUUUUAAAAUGAAUGACAGUGGUCUCUAUUUAUAGACAUUUCAUGGGCUUUAGGUGAAUUGGGGUCAUUUGCUUACUGGGCUUGAACUUGAGCCCAUUUGCUUGUUGGGCUUGGAUUUGAGCCCAUUUGCGAGAUGAGUUUGGACUUGGGCCCAUUUGAUUCUUGGACUUGGGCUUGAGCCCAUUUGUUUUGUUGGAUCUGAAUUGGGUUGGGUUGAGUAACUUAAUUAUCCAAACUCAAACAAAAGUAUAAUCAUCAUUAUUUACUGUGAUGAUGUGACGUAAUUUAAUUGGUCAAAAUUUCUUGCUCAACACUCACAUUUUUGUAUUGUUUUCCAUUCUAAAAUAAUUCAUCCAUGAUUUAUAGAGAUUUAUCUCUUACAUAAUUUAAAGCAUAGUAUUAGAAUAAUGUUGAAAAUCAUUUUAUCUAUUUGUUAAACUUGUUAAUAAUCCUAUAUGAAAUUUUCAAAAAAUUGAUAUUUUAUAUAUUGAAUAUAUGUAAAAAAGAAUAGAAAAAAACUGUCACAAAUAAUAAAUUCGACAAAAUAUUUACUAGAUUAUAUUAAUAAUAGAUAUUGAUAAGCCCUUAUAUGUUUAGUGACAUUGAUCGAUCUAUCGAAUAUCAAAUUUUAAAAUACCUUAUAAAUAUUUUAAUUAAUUUGGCUAUUUUUAAUAGUAAUAAUAAUAAAAAAAAACAAUAUAACACAAACAAUUAUACUUAUAUUGUACUCCAAAAUUACAAGUUCCUAAACAUAAAUUAGAGUUAGUUGGAGUUUGGUUUAGAGAUAAAAUUUAAAACGGGAAAAAGAAAGAAGAAGAAAAAAGAAAGAAAUGAAAAGAAGUAAGCCUGAUGUCACAUGUGAAGCUUUGACCCCAAAAAUCACCCGCAAAAUUGCGCCAAUACGUGCCACGACUCCUUUAGCAUGGCCCAGGAGUAGCCCAACGUGGUCCCGAGACAGCCCAAGGGUGACCAGGACAUAUGCCCACGACAUUGGCAGGCACCUCUCGAGGACAGCUCACAGGCCCCGCACGCGUGCCACGAAAAGGGUUGCUUGCAAAGAGUACAACUAAUGCUCGAGCGGGGAUUCAACUGGUAUGCCUCCCCUAUAAUACAUUUUGAACAUUUUCAGCUCUGGCAGGCUUGCAUAUGAAAAUGCCGAAACGUCACACCCAAGCUUUAUGACCUAGAAUGAAAAGCAAACACCUAUGGUGGGAUUUUUAAUUUCCAUAUUAAUCAAUUAACAUGCAUACAAUACAAUAUAACCUUUAUAUCAUACAUUUUAAUGCAUGAACAUGUUAACCUAUGGUGGGAUUUUAAAUCUAUAUGACAUUUCAAAAUGCACAUACAAAUUUAAAGUAAUUUAAUCAUACAUCACAUGCAUAAAUAAAAAAAAACACCCUAAAAUGGACUGAUUUUUGGCUCCUAAAUUAAGCUAAGUACUAAAUUAUUACAUAAUUACUUUGGUGUAGUACAGAACCACUCCCAAAAACUUUGAACCGGCUGAAAAACCAACCGAAACCGCUUGAACCGGCCCAGGCGCACACGGGUCGGGCGAAGGCAGGCGCGGACGCGCGGCGCGCGCGCAUGCGGCACGGGCGCGGGCGCGCGGGCGCAUGCGGGCGCAGGAGGGCGCGCGGGCGCGUGCGGGUCGCGAAGCGGGUCAAGGCGGGUUUUCGGGUCUGUGACCUUCUUUUCUUCAUUUUUUUUCAAUUCUCUCACCCGGUUGAACCAGUUACAGCCUAACUUCAACUCUAAUGACUUUUUUUUUUUUUAAAAAUUACAAACACUUUGCAACAAUAAAAAUAAGCCAUUAACAAGGCUAAUUACAAUAAUUAGAACAAAAACACUUAAUCUAGAGCCAAAAUCAUAAUAUAUCCAUUUUAGUUCAAACCAAAAUUUAUCUAAUAAAUAUGAACCCACCACAUGCAAUUGGGUAAAAAUGAAGCAUGCUCUGAUACCACAUGAUAGAACUAAGUCAUGCACAGCGGAAAAAGAAUCGAAUUUCUACCCUAAUUGCCACAAUUAACAUGUAACCAUAAACUAAUCAAAUUAGGGUUUUAAGAAAUAUUACCUUUGAAGCUUUCAAAAGGUUUGAUAUCUUCUUACCAAUUCUAACCGAGACCACCACUAGUACUCAACUGCUAUCCUCUAGACAAAGAACCGGGUUGUGGGACCCAAUUUUGGUGUAGAAAGUAAUGGAGAUAAAAUGAGAUUGGAAGCUUUCUUUUUUCUUUUGUUGAGAUGAUGAAAAUGAUAAAAGAGGCAAAAGUUUUUUCAACAUUUGAAAACACCUCUAUUUAUAACCUAAUUACAUGAAAAAAUGCAUGCAAUUCAUUUGCCAAAUCUCAACACCUAAUGUUCCACUAACAAUUAGUGGAACUUAGUGGGCUAGGUGUCUAUAUCUCAUAUAGCCACAUAUCCCACUAAGAGUUAGUGGGAUUAUCCAACAAAAUGUUGGAUUUUCCCACUAACUUAGUCCAAGGGUAAAAUGGUCAUUAGAUAUUUCUAGUCAAAAGUCAAACUUUGACUUUUCUUAGUCAAAAGUCAAUAUUUUGACUUUUUACCAUUUUGUCCGUCUUGACUAAUUCCAACCUCCCGAGCAUGAAUCCGCAUUCAUUUUUCCAAAAUUUAAAUCACAUUUGAAUAUAAGGCCGGUCAAAGUUUGACUUUUCAAAGUCAAAAGUCAACAUUUUGACUUUUUACUAUUUUUG